This is an RNA transcript of Anas platyrhynchos (mallard), 3314 nucleotides long. It is a transcript of the gene named cell surface glycoprotein CD200 receptor 2, with no coding region annotated. Lineage: Eukaryota; Metazoa; Chordata; Aves; Anseriformes; Anatidae. The record is from RefSeq and is a predicted model, not a curated record.
AAUUCUGUUUUUCAUACAUGAAUAUUUAAACAGAGUAAUAUUGUCUGUUCUUUCUGUAAGGCCCCCUUCUUAAUCAUUAAUAUCUGUAGUUUUGUGCAAAUACACCCCAUAUAUAUAUAUAUGAUUUGUAUGCAUUUAAAAAAAGAUAGUUUCCUGGGACAAAUUCCAAUAUCACAAUAUGCCGUGUAUGAAUAUUUAUAGGUCCAUCAAAAUUGGUGAAUAUUGAAUUUACUGAUAAGCGUUGUGGAGGGAUUUUUUUAUUAUUAUUAUUUAUUUUCUUUUUAAAAAAAGACUGGAAAACUAUUUGCAAUUUGGGUCAAUUUUCUGUGCAUAUUUUUGGCCCAAAAUAAUGUUGUUUAUUUUUCUGUUAAGAAAAAAAUUAAGUUUUUUCAUCGACAGCAGCUUUUGCAUGCGUCAUUUAUUCAAAUUGCAAAAACCAGCAACAACCAACCAACCAACUCUUACAAUAGUAGUGAAUUACACAAAACAAAAAAUGUAACUUAUGGCAAGGAUAUUAAUUGAAUAGACAAUGAAAUUUGGGAUUUUGGUGGUAUAAGAGUUUCAUUGUCAGUUGCAUGUUAGUAGUAGAAUAUUGACCAAUGUGUUUGUAUGAGCAUUAUUUUUGGGUUGCAGUGAAAACUUUCCAUCUAGAUACAUAGCUGUUUUGUUAGAACUGUGCAGAAAACCUAUCAAGCUGUUGUGUAUACAUAUUGCAUUGUGUAUAAGUACUGUUGCCUCUUGCACUCAGAUCACAAAUGUUGCUACAUUUGUUUUUCCAUGCCACAAGUCUGGCAUUGUUCUUUUUGUUUUGGCUUGGUCCUUUUGUUGUUGUUGUUUUGUUUUGUUUUGUUUUUCUGUGCACCAAGUGUCCUCACUUGUUAUAUUUUACAUUAAGGAUGUAGCAUCAUUGCAUCCUGUUAUUUUACAGAAAUCGAUACCAGCUGAGGUUUCUUUUUGCACAGAACCCUGUCUGCCUUUCCUCCUCCUCCUCUCAGCAAGUACCACAAAAUGCAUUUGCAUAUGGGUGUGAAGAGUGCAUGAUUAUAAUAGGCUGCAUGUGUCCUGUAGCAACACACGACAUUUUGGGAUCAAGUAUGACAGAAAGAUACUUGCUAGUUUGGCAUGUAUUGGCUUUUGACUUGGGAAUGUAAACAACAUAUUAGUACUUGCCAUAGCUGCCAUAGGAUGGCAACAUCAUUUUCCAAUCAUCUCUAGGUGUGGGUGACUAAGUCAGAAAGCGGAGCAUUGAAGAGAGACAAAUGACAGCAGAAGGGAGAGAAUAAGAAAAGGAUGACCAAAAAGAACAUUUGAGGGAAUCCAGAGGUAUUUGCGUGACAAUUUGUGACUACAUAUCAUUUCCUUUGCCUUCAGUUUCUGCAGUGUUGAUUCAUUUUGCUAAAGAUGUCUCAGACGUGGUCAGUUCUGGCUGCACUCCUUUUCUUGAUUUUCAGCCUGGUUGAAGGGUCAGCUUAUAACAUUGUGAAUGUGGAGGCUGGCGAUGAGGCUGUGUUGACUUGUGCUUCCACCUCCAAAAUGUAUUUGGUAAUGGUGACAUGGGAGAUAAAAUCCAACACUUCCUGCUCUUUGGCCUAUAGAAAUGAUCGCAACGAGACAAAGUUAAACUGCAGUGAGAGGAUGAUGUGGAAAUAUUCACCUGACAGGGACCCUGCUCUUCGUAUUUACCCUGUGAACCUGAGUGAUGAGGGAAAUUACACCUGUGAAAUUGCCACUGAUAUGGGGAAUUUUCAUUUUUCCUCUUCCCUGUCUGUGAUAGUCCCUCCUACAGUGACUCUGACCUCUGACAAGAGCAGAGUGGCUGUCUGCCAAGCUGCUGCUGGAAAGCCAGCUGCCAAAAUCUCCUGGAUUCCUGCAAGUAAUAACAGCUCUGAGGAAGAAUUCAAACAUGGCAAUGGAACAGUGACCAGAGUCAGCUACAUUGGCUGGGUCAACAGCAUGAACACCACUGUCACCUGCCUGGUUACCCACCCAGCUAUGAACCAGAAUCUCUCCCUAGAUCUGUCAGACUCUUCCUCCAGGCUUCACUAUCCCCUGGUGGCACUGCCUGCAAGUGUCGCUGCUAUCAGUGGUUUUGGUGUGCUUUUAUGCUUAAUUUUCACGUGCAGAGCUUUCUGCUUACGUAAAUUGGCAUGUGAGCCACCAGUACUGGUUGAAAAUUCAACGAAACUUGGAAGAGGAAAGAAAUUUCCAGGUCUUUUUGUCUGUGUGACAGUGAAAGAGAACAUAUGGGACAGAAAAAAAGGAGAAGAGAUGUUGACAGAAGCACAGGAGUCAGAAAUCUGUCAUUUUUCAUUUCCACUUCGCAAAGCAGCUCAAGUGGCUCCUGCACUGCUUAAAUUUAAAAAAUAAAUAAAUAAAAUUCAAGCUUCAAGUGAAAGGUAUAAACUCUUCUAGGUGCACUAUCCCAAGAACAGGAAUGGAACUGGACAGCUAACAGGGACCAACAGAAAUAUAGAGACGGAGGCAGACGGACAAGACCAGUUAUAAAAACUUGAAUGCUGCCAUGAUUGUGUUACUGGGUUUCACACCGUUAACCCAGAUAGACAAUACUAACUGAUAGAGCACACCUCUUCUGGGUUGUAAUUGCACAUCCAUGCACUCUGCAAUCUGCUCAGACCCACAUAUUCCAGCUGCAGCCCAGCAAGCCAGCACCGAGGAAACACAAGCCUUCAAACUCCCUGGUUGCUGCUCUUCAGAAUGUGUCUGUCUCACGUGCUCACUGCUCUGCAGAUUGGCAUGAUUUGUAACCUGUUGCCCACUACACCACCAAAUCCAGGGACUCUGUCAGUAGAAUUUAACUGAAAAUAUAUAAUGACAGUGAUAUUUAAGUUAUGGUGAAGCACUUUUUUUUUUUUUUUUUUUUUCCUUCCUAGCAUAAGAUUUCAGUUACAGACCAGUCUAUAAUUUCAAAGCACAGUUCUCCAUUGCCUCAUGCCUUGCUCUGUCCUUUACACCAUUACAGUAUGAUAGGAGUUACAGCUUUUGGAAAUGAAGAUAUUUUGGCUGCUUUACUCAGUAUUGUUGUAGUGAGUUUAUGUGGCAAGGUUUUGGUAGCAGGGGGCCAUAGGGGUGGCUUCUGUGAGAAGAAUCUAGAAGCUGCCCCAUGUUAGGUAAGGACCCCACUGCUGACCAGAGCUGAGCCAAUAAAUGAUGUUGUUUGCGCCUCUGUGCGAGCAUAUUUGAGAAAGGGGAAACAAAACAAACAAACAAACAAAAUGCUUCUACAUGGCAGCUGGGAGAGUGAGAGGACUGAGAAACUGCCUUGCAGGCACCAAGGUCAGUGAAGAAGGAGGGGG